Long non-coding RNA from Quercus robur (English oak), 1514 nucleotides. RefSeq lists it as uncharacterized. NCBI's taxonomy places the organism in Eukaryota, Viridiplantae, Streptophyta, Magnoliopsida, Fagales, Fagaceae. The transcript is spliced from 2 exons. The record is from RefSeq and is a predicted model, not a curated record.
CAAAAACCAUAAAACAAAUGCAAAUUCUUUUUUUUGAAAAAUUAUAAAAUAAAAAUUGCGGGCUAGAAAAUAAAUCACCACAACAAUUGAAUGAGUAGUGUUGUCUGAGGACUUGUCCAACCUAACCCACAUGCCUAACCGAUCGGACCCAAGUUGACCACCACUUGAUCUACUGUUUGUGGUAUUUGAUGCUGUGUCAAGUAGUGGGUUUACUCCUCCAAAACUCGAUCGCACCCAAUUUGAUCAACGAAACUGGCAAAAUUUGGUGAAAUCUAUCAAAUUUGACAAGAUCUCUCUAGAUUUUGGUUGUUUUUUUUGCUUCUCUAGUAUGAUUGAUUCGCCCACCACCCAUAGAAGGCUUAUCUAGUGCUCCUCUCUGGUUAAGGACAGGUCGACUUCUUCCUCACCAGAUUUGGUCAUGUUGGGUGCGGUUUAAGCACAAACUCGACCUAGACCAAUAAGUGGACACCCUUAAACAUGCGUAAUUGUUUUUGGAAAAAAAACACGUGGCGGAAGACUAUUUGUAGAGGAAUGAACUGGAGAAUCAGGCGUACAGACUACAAAGAAGAGAAUUUUAAUUUUUGAGAGAGGCCGGAACUAAAAAAAAAAUUAAAUCCCGUUAAAUGGGGAGUUAUGGAAUCUGAGCCCUGGCCCCCCCUUUGGUAUAAAACUAAAACCAAACGCUACCCACAUACCACACCACACCCUUCAAACCAAAGAAACACAAAAAUAAGAAACAACAAUUGCUCUCCUCUCUCUUACCCUGCCUCACAGAAACAGAGUCUGAGACAAAGGAAAAAAGCAAGUGGUCGAGAUCCGGCGAGCUGCUUCGUCGGGUUUCGCCCAUUUUCAACGUCGGAGCUCCGACAGUUUGUUCAUAGCAGUGUCACUGUGCGCAUAAAAACAGCAACAGCAAAAGCAAAAGCAAAAUGAAGGGUUCCUGCACUCUCGUGGCAUCAGUACUCGCCGCAUCCACCGUGGCUCUUGGCUCCUCAUCUUCCACUGCGGGAGAUCGUGACCAUUCAUUUCAUCCUUGCUCCAACGAGGGUCUCUCUUCGCCAACUUCGAAAUCUUAUGCCAAAAACUCGCAUACGACGGCGGAAAAGGAGAAAUUUGCGCCAAGAUUCGAUGGCCUAAGGUUCAUUGAGACCUUGGUCACAGCCCACAGGUGACCUCAAAGCCUCAAAGACCCUCCCUUUUUUGUCUCCGAUUUUUGCUGCGAAAGGUUCUGCAAUAUGUGAUUGGAAGAGCAAUUUUAAUUUUUAAUUUUUAAUUUUACCCCCAUUCUCCAUGUGAGUUUGUGUUUUUCUUUUUCCUUUUUCGGUUAAUUGAUGGUGUAAUGCGGUUGAACUCUAAAAGCGUGACAGCCACUGUAUUUGUCAAUGUCCUCUUGUUUUGUUCGAAUUUUAUGUGGCCUGGACCUGCUGUAUCUUACUAAUUUAGCCUCCAAAAAUGUUUUUUAUUAUUAUAUGAGCAAGAGCAAUGUACAUGUGCAAUGGCCUGAAUUGGUUCUA